GGAAAAAAAGAGAGGGAGAAAGCUUCUACCUGUCACAGCUUUCAAACACAAAGAAAAAUGAGCACUUCGGCUGAAGUACAAUCAUUUGCCUCUGCCAGGAGAUUCAUCACGUAGUCGAAGAGAAGAGAUAUGGCAUUUGUAUGCUGGCGUCCCAUCCAGGAUGUAUCCUGCCCGGCACCUACUGCUUGCCUAGACAGGCUCCAGCUCCCCUGUGACCAUGAAGUGGAUGAAGUGGUUAGAAAAUGGAUGGAUGGACAUUCUACAUGUGAAUAUUUCUGCUUUCUUGCAAGAUGAUUAUGACAUAUGCCAUGGAUGGGACUUGGGCCCCACUGAACUUCUGAGGAAGGAAUUGAAUCUACAAGCAGAUGGGCAAGAAUUCAGGAAGCUCAGUUGUACAGAAUGGCAGACUGGAACAGUAGGCGUUAAAUACCUUCGUCAGGGGAAUGACGGGAGUGUCCGCAGAAGGAACCUGAACCUGCAGCCUGCAAACGACAGUAUUACUCUAGAACCUUAACCACCUCUCUAUGCUGUCACUGAUUACUACAGGAGAUGACAGGAAAUGUUGCAAUAAAUUCAAAAGGGUUCUCACAGGAGAUGACUGAACAAGUGUUUAAAGUAUAAGAUGUGAUAGACUAAACCCUUGCUAUCAUGUUCAUCUUUAUUAACUUAAAAUAAUUAAACCAAAAAAGCAAAUGAAAACAAAUAAAAUCCUGAACAAAUUUCAUGUUUCAUAAAAGCAAACAUAUUAUUUGUAAUUUUCAGGAAGCUGUUUUUUUAUCAUUGUUAUUUUUCAAGUAAUUUGUAACAUAAUGAUUGUUCUGUUCAGAAUAAUAUUGUACUGCAUUAACCAUGCAUUAUUAAUAAUGUAAGCAUAUUAAAAGACAAUACUGUGAUAUAACAAUUUACAAAUAAAUACACACUGUACUAAUAUUUUUCCUGGUUAUCUUUUAUAUAAGGUUUGGAAUAAAAGGCAAUAUUUAUAACAGUAUUAAGUGGUCUCUCAAAUGUAUACUGAAGUCACAUUUUUUAUACCUGUGCUAUUUACUCUGGGAAUAUAAUGAUUUCAAUUUAAAGUCUGCUAUUUCAAAUUGGAAGGCUUCAUAAAUAAAAGUUGUAUAAAAAAGUUUAGGUGAGAAUUUGAAAAUUAAAGGAUUUCUGCAUUAGCUCAGUAAUGCUUAAAUAACUUUUCAUGGGAAAAGAACAACUAAAAAAAAAAUACAAAACCCAGUACAGUUUAUAAUGUGAUAUGAUUUGAAAAUAUCUGAUCAACA
This 1271-nucleotide long non-coding RNA is filed under the name Lepisosteus oculatus (spotted gar). Its description in RNAcentral is "lncRNA (ENSLOCG00000022974.1)". The record is from RNAcentral. Lineage: Eukaryota; Metazoa; Chordata; Actinopteri; Semionotiformes; Lepisosteidae.